CAGCACACUGGUUCCUAUCAAUAAAUCUC
Molecule: non-coding RNA, 29 nt
Filed under: Mus musculus (house mouse)
Lineage: Eukaryota; Metazoa; Chordata; Mammalia; Rodentia; Muridae
Source: RNAcentral